CGGGGUGUGGCCUAAUGGCAAGGCGCCAGCUUCGGGUGCUGGAGAUUGCGGGUUCGAAUCCCGCCGCCCCGA
Molecule: transfer RNA, 72 nt
Filed under: bacterium HR35
Lineage: Bacteria
Rfam family: tRNA
About the family: Transfer RNA (tRNA) molecules are approximately 80 nucleotides in length. Their secondary structure includes four short double-helical elements and three loops (D, anti-codon, and T loops).
Source: Rfam by way of RNAcentral